GGCGGAAUGCAUUAACAUUAGCAAAAUCCUCAAAUUGAAUGAGACAGUUCAUGCCAUAACUUGAAGUCACAGCUUCCAUGAAUUCAUCAAGAAGAUCAUCGUAGGCUUGACCUCUGAUUCUCUUAUGUCUCAGCCCAAUAUACAAAGGAUCUUUCAGCAAUGCCUCAUUAUCUGUUCCCACAUCCAACAUCACAGGUAGGCACUCAUAAGGUUUC
Molecule: long non-coding RNA, 215 nt
Filed under: Gallus gallus (chicken)
Lineage: Eukaryota; Metazoa; Chordata; Aves; Galliformes; Phasianidae
Source: RNAcentral